GGGCCCGCACAAGCGGUGGAGCAUGUGGUUUAAUUCAAUGAUACGCGAGGAACCUUACCAGGGCUUAAAUGCAGUUGGACAGGUCUGGAAACAGACCCUUCUUCGGACUAAUUGCAAGGUGCUGCAUGGUUGUCGUCAGCUCGUGCCGUGAGGUGUCAGGUUAAGUCCUAUAACGAGCGCAACCCCUGUGGUUAGUUGCCAGCGAGUGAUGUCGGGAACUCUAGCCAGACUGCCGGUGCAAACCGUGAGGAAGGUGGGGAUGACGUCAAGUCAUCAUGCCCCUUACAUCCUGGGCUACACACGUACUACAAUGCUACGGACAAAGGGCAGCAAGUUCGCGAGGACAAGCAAAUCCCAUAAACCGUGGCUCAGUUCAGAUCGUAGGCUGCAACUCGCCUACGUGAAGGCGGAAUCGCUAGUAAUCG
This 425-nucleotide ribosomal RNA is filed under the name uncultured bacterium. RNAcentral's name for it is "bacterial SSU rRNA". It matches the Rfam family "Bacterial small subunit ribosomal RNA", at positions 917 to 1344 of the family's 1533-position model. The record is from RNAcentral.